CCUACGGGUGGCAGCAGUGAGGAAUAUUGGUCAAUGGGCGGAAGCCUGAACCAGCCAAGUAGCGUGCAGGAUGACGGCCCUACGGGUUGUAAACUGCUUUUAUACGGGAAUAACGCGCCUUACGUGUAGGGCUUUGCAUGUACCGUAUGAAUAAGGACCGGCUAAUUCCGUGCCAGCAGCCGCGGUAAUACGGAAGGUCCGGGCGUUAUCCGGAUUUAUUGGGUUUAAAGGGUGCGCAGGCGGGCCUUUAAGCCGGCGGUGAAAUCGCGGGGCUCAACCCCGCCGAGCCGUCGGAACUGGGGGCCUUGAGUGCGGCGGAGGCAUGCGGAAUGCGCGGUGUAGCGGUGAAAUGCAUAGAUAUCGCGCAGAACCCCGAUUGCGAAGGCAGCGUGCCGUGCCGCCACUGACGCUGAGGCACGAAAGCGCGGGGAUCGAACAGGAUUAGAUACCCCGGUAGUC
This 459-nucleotide ribosomal RNA is filed under the name uncultured bacterium. Its description in RNAcentral is "partial 16S ribosomal RNA". It matches the Rfam family "Bacterial small subunit ribosomal RNA", at positions 338 to 795 of the family's 1533-position model. The record is from RNAcentral.